CCUGACUGCUAUCGGAUUGAUACUAAGCCAUGCGAGUCUUUGUAGUAAUACAAGGCAGACGGCUCAGUAACACGUAGUCAAUCUACCCUAUGGACGGGGAUAACCUCGGGAAACUGAGAAUAAUACCCGAUAGAUCAUUAUGCCUGGAAUGGUUUAUGGUUUAAAUGAUUUUUCGCCGUAGGAUGGGACUGCGGCCUAUCAGUUUGUUGGUGAGGUAAUGGCCCACCAAGACUAUUACAGGUACGGGCUCUGAGAGGAGAAGCCCGGAGAUGGGUACUGAGACACGGACCCAGGCCCUAUGGGGCGCAGCAGGCGAGAAAACUUUGCAAUGUGCGAAAGCACGACAAGGUUAAUCCGAGUGUUUUCUGCUAAAGAAAUCUUUUGUCAGUCCUAAAACCACUGGCGAAUAAGGGGUGGGCAAGUUCUGGUGUCAGCCGCCGCGGUAAAACCAGCACCUCAAGUGGUCAGGAUGAUUAUUGGGCCUAAAGCAUCCGUAGCCGGCUAUGAAAGUUUUCGGUUAAAUCCAUAUGCUCAACAUAUGGGCUGCCGAGAAUACUCCAUAGCUAGGGAGUGGGAGAGGUAGACGGUACUCCGUAGGAAGGGGUAAAAUCCUUUGAUCUAUGGAUGACCACCUGUGGCGAAGGCGGUCUACCAGAACACGUUCGACGGUGAGGGAUGAAAGCUGGGGGAGCAAACCGGAUUAGAUACCCGGGUAGUCCCAGCUGUAAACUAUGCAAACUCGGUGAUGCAUUGGCUUGUGGCCAGUGCAGUGUCGCAGAGAAGUCGUCAAGUUUGCCGCCUGGGAAGUACGUACGCAAGUAUGAAACUUAAAGGAAUUGGCGGGGGAGCACCACAAGGGGUGAAGCCUGCGGUUC
RNAcentral lists this ribosomal RNA (875 nucleotides) under uncultured Candidatus Nitrosopumilus sp. Its description in RNAcentral is "bacterial SSU rRNA". It matches the Rfam family "Archaeal small subunit ribosomal RNA", at positions 21 to 903 of the family's 1478-position model. Lineage: Archaea; Thermoproteati; Nitrososphaerota; Nitrososphaeria; Nitrosopumilales; Nitrosopumilaceae. The record is from RNAcentral.